CUACGGGCGGCAGCAGUGGGGAAUAUUGCACAAUGAGCGAAAGCUUGAUGCAGCCAUACCGCGUGUGUGAAGAAGGCCUGAGGGUUGUAAAGCACUUUCAAUUGGGAGGAAGGUUUAGUAGUUAAUACCUGCUGGAUUUGACGUUACCUUUAGAAGAAGCAUCGGCUAACUCUGUGCCAGCAGCCGCGGUAAUACAGAGGGUGCAAGCGUUAUUCGGAAUUACUGGGCGUAAAGCGCGCGUAGGCGGAUUAGUAAGUCAGUUGUGAAAGCCCUGGGCUCAACCUAGGAACUGCAUCUGAUACUGCUAGUCUAGAGUUUAGUAGAGGGAAGGGGAAUUCCAGGUGUAGCAGUGAAAUGCGUAGAUAUCUGGAGGAACAUCAGUGGCGAAGGCGCCUUCCUGGACUAAAACUGACGCUGAGGUGCGAAAGCGUGGGUAGCGAACGGGAUUAGAUACCCCAGUAGUC
This 464-nucleotide ribosomal RNA is filed under the name uncultured bacterium. Its description in RNAcentral is "partial 16S ribosomal RNA". It matches the Rfam family "Bacterial small subunit ribosomal RNA", at positions 339 to 795 of the family's 1533-position model. The record is from RNAcentral.